GACAGGCUUAACACAUGCAAGUCGAGGGGCAGCGGGGGUGAUGGCUUGCCAUCGCCUGCCGGCGACCGGCGCACGGGUGAGUAACACGUAUGCAACCUGCCCGCCACAGGGGGAUAAGCGGAAGAAAUUCCGUCUAAUACCGCGUGACGCGGCGCCGGGGCAUCCCGGUGCCGCCAAAGGGAUUACCGGUGGCGGAUGGGCAUGCGGCGCAUUAGCUAGUCGGCGGGGUAACGGCCCACCGAGGCGACGAUGCGUAGGGGUUCUGAGAGGAAGGUCCCCCACACUGGUACUGAGACACGGACCAGACUCCUACGGGAGGCAGCAGUGAGGAAUAUAGGUCAAUGGGCGCGAGCCUGAACCAGCCAAGUCGCGUGAGGGAUGACGGUCCUACGGAUUGUAAACCUCUUUUGCCGGGGAGCAAGCGUGCGUUCGUGAACGCGCGUCGAGAGUACCCGGAGAAAAAGCAUCGGCUAACUCCGUGCCAGCAGCCGCGGUAAUACGGAGGAUGCGAGCGUUAUCCGGAUUUAUUGGGUUUAAAGGGUGCGUAGGCGGGAUGCCAAGUCAGCGGUAAAAAUGCGGUGCUCAACGCCGUCGAGCCGUUGAAACUGGCGUUCUUGAGUGGGCGAGAAGUAUGCGGAAUGCGUGGUGUAGCGGUGAAAUGCAUAGAUAUCACGCAGAACUCCGAUUGCGAAGGCAGCAUACCGGCGCCCUACUGACGCUGAGGCACGAAAGCGUGGGUAUCGAACAGGAUUAGAUACCCUGGUAGUCCACGCAGUAAACGAUGAAUGCUAACUGUCCGGCUCGAAUGAGCGCUGGGCGGUACAGCGAAAGCGUUAAGCAUUCCACCUGGGGAGUACGCCGGCAACGGUGAAACUCAAAGGAAUUGACGGGGGCCCGCACAAGCGGAGGAACGUGUGGUUUAAUUCGAUGAUACGCGAGGAACCUUACCCGGGCUCAAACGCAGGAUGACGGGUCCCGAAAGGGGUCUUUCUUCGGACAUUCUGCGAGGUGCUGCAUGGUUGUCGUCAGCUCGUGCCGUGAGGUGUCGGCUUAAGUGCCAUAACGAGCGCAACCCCUGUCCACAGUUGCCAGCAGGUAAAGCUGGGGACUCUGUGGAGACUGCCGGCGCAAGCUGCGAGGAAGGCGGGGAUGACGUCAAAUCAGCACGGCCCUUACGUCCGGGGCGACACACGUGUUACAAUGGCAGGUACAGCGGGAUGCCACGGGGCGACCCGGCGCUGAACCCGAAAACCUGUCUCAGUUCGGAUUGGAGUCUGCAACCCGACUCCAUGAAGCUGGAUUCGCUAGUAAUCGCGCAUCAGCCACGGCGCGGUGGAUACGUUCCCGGGCCUUGUACACACCGCCCGUCAAGCCAUGGAAGCCGGGGGUACCUGAAGUGCGUGACCGCGAGGAGCGCCCUAGGGUAAAACC
RNAcentral lists this ribosomal RNA (1431 nucleotides) under uncultured bacterium. RNAcentral's name for it is "bacterial SSU rRNA". It matches the Rfam family "Bacterial small subunit ribosomal RNA". The record is from RNAcentral.